GAUGAACGCUGGCGGCAUGCCUAACACAUGCAAGUCGAACGGUAAGGCGCCGCUUUUUGCCGGUGCUCGGGGGGCGAACGGGUGAUACACACGUGCGUAACCUGCCCUUGACGUUGGGAUAACUUCAGGUUACUUGGGCUAGUACCAGAUAGACGGUCCUGCUCCAUGGUGGGGGUUGCAUAGUUGCGGGGGGUGGGGAUGUACUCGCGGCUGAUGAGCUUGGUAGUGGAGCAGUGGCUUACCAAGGGUUUGACGGGUAGCCGGCGUGAGAGGGGGACCGGGGUCCAUACGACUGAGAUACGGACCAGAGGGGUACGGGAGGCAGCAGUGGGGAAUCUUGCACAAUGAGCGCAAGCCUGGUGCAGCAACGCCGCGUUCGGGAUGACGGUCUGCGGGUUGUAAAAAGCUUUCGGCUGUGACGGAGCGUGCAUGACGGUAACGGAUGAAGAAGCACCGGCUAACUACGUG
This 468-nucleotide ribosomal RNA is filed under the name uncultured bacterium. Its description in RNAcentral is "partial 16S ribosomal RNA". It matches the Rfam family "Bacterial small subunit ribosomal RNA", at positions 28 to 507 of the family's 1533-position model. The record is from RNAcentral.